ACAAGAAAGAAGCCUCCCUCUGCACAGAGAACUGUGGGGAACGCAGUCCCGAGCAUGUCUUCAAUGUCCCACAUGUAAACCUGAUCUGGGGCAUGUGAGGUGGCCCCAACUUGUCUGUGUCAUCUGCAGACAUACUGAGGGUGCACCCAAUUCCCUCAUCUAGAUGUGAUACUAAACAGAACAGGCCCCAGUACCGACCCCUGAGUCGUGUACCCCUUUUUGCAUCUGGCCCAAAGGUGCAACAUCCAUUGGCAAGCAUCGUACAGAAGAGAGAUCCAGAUUCCCAGACAGUGGAUAGCAAUUCCCAGAAGUGGAGGACUGCAGUAAUCCUUCUUCUCAUACCCAGCCCUCCUCUUUGUUCCCCCUUUUCUGUCUGCCAUUAGUUAGGAUCUCUACGAAAGUCUUUUAUGCUAUUAUUGGAUUGCAAAACCCUUUGGACAAGAACUCUACAGCUUGUUGAUCAGUUUAAUGUCCAUGUCAUUUUCAAAACAAAUUUAGAAGCACAUUAAUCCUCUUGUAUUGUGGUUUUUUUGCAAGCUGCCAGCACCGAUACCUUGCUUAUACGAGUCCUUUGCUGAUUUAUCCCAGAGAUGAACAAACCCAUCAAACUUAGUAGGUGGUGGAACACAUUUCAAUCUGUUUUAUUUCUGUUAUUAAAAAACCUCUUAGGCAUUCCAGGAUCAACAGGAAUUGGAUAAAUUAUCACUUCAUUUUCUCAUAUUUUUAGAACCAACACCAGGCAUACAAAUGAAGGGCUCUUCAAAAUAUUUAUUUCUACUAAAAGUUUUACCUACAACAGUAAAAACAUCAUCAGCUGCACCGGUUCCAUUUAACGAUACUCUUCAAAUUACAUCUUCAAUUAUAGCCAGAAUGAAAGGUAGAGAAGGAAGCAAGUAAAUAAAUGCAUUUGGGCACAGCUAGAGUGCAUCCAGUCCUUUAUAACUAAAUGUUGCAGUAAGUGUGUAACACUGGGAAAUAAUUUGCCUUAAGGCUGAAUUUCAGCUGUUUCAGAUAAGCAAUUGAGUUUAGAUGGGUGAAGUUUUAUGGCUCUAAUAAGAAGGUCUGGUUUUCUGGCACCGCUAUGCACUGGAGACUUAUAUUAGUUUUGAAAAAGAGGAAAAAAUUAUAAAAGUCUUUGCACCAAAUUCUAC
This is a long non-coding RNA of Gallus gallus (chicken), 1151 nucleotides long. Lineage: Eukaryota; Metazoa; Chordata; Aves; Galliformes; Phasianidae. The record is from Ensembl.